GAUCACUGCUCAUGGAAUGAGGUACCUAUUCGAGUUGGAACUCCUUAGUUCCCAUCUCUAUGCUACAUGGUGGCAGGUGUAGCGCAGUGGGAUGCUUGGAUGUGGAAUAAGCCUGCACUUCCAACUCCUCCAUAUGGCCCUUCUGGAGGGGGAUGAUUAAAUGAAUGAGCCCCUCUGCGUUCCCUUUCCCCUUCUGUGGCUUGCUGCAGUUGAUGACAAGGCCCAAAGGG
Molecule: long non-coding RNA, 230 nt
Filed under: Homo sapiens (human)
Lineage: Eukaryota; Metazoa; Chordata; Mammalia; Primates; Hominidae
Description: HSALNT0012757
Source: RNAcentral